AUUGAACGCUGGCGGCAUGCUUUACACAUGCAAGUCGAACGGUAACAGGUUAAGCUGACGAGUGGCGAACGGGUGAGUAAUGCAUCGGAACGUGCCUGGUCGUGGGGGAUAACGCAGCGAAAGCUGCGCUGAUACCGCAUACGAUCUGAGGAUGAAAGCGGGGGACCGUAAGGCCUCGCGCGAUCGGAGCGGCCGAUGUCAGAUUAGGUAGUUGGUGGGGUAAAGGCUCACCAAGCCAACGAUCUGUAGCUGGUCUGAGAGGACGACCAGCCAGACUGGGACUGAGACACGGCCCAGACUCCUACGGGAGGCAGCAGUGGGGAAUUUUGGACAAUGGGCGAAAGCCUGAUCCAGCAAUGCCGCGUGCAGGAAGAAGGCAUUCGGGUUGUAAACUGCUUUUGUACGGAGCGAAAAGGUCUCCUCUAAUACAGGGGGCUCAUGACGGUACCGUAAGAAUAAGCACCGGCUAACUACGUGCCAGCAGCCGCCGUAA
RNAcentral lists this ribosomal RNA (493 nucleotides) under uncultured bacterium. RNAcentral's name for it is "partial 16S ribosomal RNA". It matches the Rfam family "Bacterial small subunit ribosomal RNA", at positions 29 to 523 of the family's 1533-position model. The record is from RNAcentral.